UGUCUGACAUGAAUUUAACGGUCAGGACUCAAGCAUUUUGCGAUAAUUGUAUUAAUUAAACUUUAAAGUUUAACUUUGAUAGAACCGAUUACACCGAUGAAGACCACGUUUUUACAGAGGUUUCUGAAAUAUGUUCGUCCCCAUGAAAAUACAUCAUUUUCUUAAUUUUAAUUUUAAUUUUCAAUAACCCCCAGUGAUAACAAUGGUAAAUAUAUCUUCGUCUUCUUCAGCGACAUUAUACCCAACCCUACGAUAAUUAUUUUAGACUGAAAAUAUACGGAAUGUUAUCAUUAUCAUCAGAGAAUUCUGAAAACGAAAUUUAUAGAAUUUCCAUGUGAAACUUUGUAAAGUGUAUUUUAUUUUGUGUUGACAGUGGUGAACAUGUACCUGGUGUCCGGAAAUGAAGAUUUUGAUAAGGAAAGGAAAUGUUCAAGCAAUCAGUAGUAGAGAAUAGGACAUAAUGGACUGUUUUUACUCGACGUUGAUCCUCAAUAUCUUCAUUCAUUGUUAAAGACUUCCGACUGAGGACCCCAGGGUUUAGUACCAAAUACUCAUUCGUUUAUAAUCAUAAAUUGCAUUCGAAAGAACUGAAUCACUGUAUCAGCAUUGCAAAUUUCAAAAGGAGUAAUCAAUGUUUCAAAGCUUUUUCCAGUCGAUAUCCCAUCGACAAAUUAGAUGAUUGAGAGGCCAGUCCAAUCCAACGUUACCAUAAAAGAUUUUUCCAAUGGAAAUUAAAACUGCACCGGUGAGUUUUCGAUAAAACUGGACUUUCGUCGCGGCUGACAUUGUCGAUGUGAAUUGACUGGCGAAUGUGAGUGUACUUUUUGAAUUUCAAAACUUGUACGUGUACUUGUGGCGGUUGAACGUGGUGAAACGGGCGCGGCGAGGAAUGUUGAUCGUCCAACAUGAGUCCUGAACGUUCCUCUGGGUAUAUUUGAAUUUCCUGUUGUGAUAGCUCAACUUAUUUACCCACACGAAUAGAAAAACACAUAACAGUCCUGUCCCUGGGUGUUUGAAAUUUAGUGGGAUUCGUAAGAGUGAAGGGGGACAGGGACUGUCACCAAAAAUAUCGCAUGGUCCACACAUUAAUUCCAAUCUGACACUCUUUUUUGUGAAGAUCUUAAUUUUUUUAGUGGAGAUUUACAGGUAAUUUUCAGUGCCAUAUACUACUUGAGGAUAAAAUUUUCUCCUCGUAUAAAUCCUAAUAAUAAAUUGGAGAAGACAGCUCAAUUACUUCAGGUUUGAAACCAAUUCGUUCCGAUAAACUAAACGAGAAAAUAAUCGAUAGAGAAUUCUACUAGAAAUUAUGUGUCUAUAUUUAUGAUUACGAGUUAAUGAGCCUGCUAUUGAAUAUCAUAACACCAUAUCUAUCAUCAAAAAUUACUACAAAAAUUACUACUGCAAUUUACAACUUUUCAAAAUCAACAUCUUCGGCUUUUUUGAAAGGGAAUUAAUAGUUAAGAACAGCAACGGUAAUGAUGAUAAUUCCUUGUGGUAAGUUCUCUAAAUUUUAGAAUAAGAAACAAAUGGAAAUGUCGGGGAGAAAACGAUAAUUUAUGAAGAGGCACUUAUGUAAGACCUAGUAGUCUCAGGAAUAUUUUGAAUUUGAUGCAGAAAAAAAUUGGAGAGAAAGUUCUAUUAAAAUUUCUAUCACCUUUUCACUGAAGAUCUUCAUGAAAAAUCAAUAAACUCGGAUUUUUAUUUUCAGAUGAUCCUUUCAAUUUUAUUUCAUCAACUCCCAUUAAACAUUGGAUGGAGCGACAAAUUAAAAAAAUACAGAAAUGCUGACAAAAGCUACAGAAUUUUUGCCAACAAAUAGCGACAAACAAAUAAUUUAAACGUCUAUUGAACCAAGUCGGGAUUUUCACUUUGAUUUUGUCUACAUGAAUAAAAACAGUCAUUUAAAAAGUAGAAAAAAACAUGUGUAAAUUUAUGGAGUGAGUCUCACCAAUUACGAGGGGUGUUAUUGUCUGCAAAAAUGCGUAUUGUAGCAGUAAAAAAUAAGAGAAAAAUAGAAUCCCCGGUUAUACACCGGUAUGCGAAAGAGAUAAUGCGAAUGUUGGUGCUUGCCAGCCCCCUAACACAGGACGUUAACCCGGCACAAG
Molecule: long non-coding RNA, 2105 nt
Organism: Diachasmimorpha longicaudata
Lineage: Eukaryota; Metazoa; Arthropoda; Insecta; Hymenoptera; Braconidae
Exons: 3
Source: RefSeq, a predicted model, not a curated record